GCCUGGUUGGCUCAGGUGGUAGAGCAUGUGACUCUUGAUCUCAGAGUUGUGAGUUUGAGCCCCACAUUAGGCA
Molecule: non-coding RNA, 73 nt
Organism: Canis lupus familiaris (dog)
Lineage: Eukaryota; Metazoa; Chordata; Mammalia; Carnivora; Canidae
Source: Rfam